GGAGAAAAGGACAGAGCUUUCGGCAACAAUGGAAAGGAGCAUAGUAUCAAUUAUGCUACAUUAUGAUUUUUGUUUACUUGUUAAUCUAUCCUGAUAAACUGUGUGUUCCUUAAGAGCAAAGUAUAUAUAUAGAAAGUGAUUUUUCUGUCUUCAUUUCUGGUAUCAAGUAUAGUGUCUAAUAAAGACUAGGUAUUCUAUAAAUGUUUGUCAAAUGUUGAAUGAACAAGCAAGUUUAAGAUUUUGUUUUGUUUUACGUACUAAGGAUUGAACCCAGGGCUACCACUGAGCUACAUCCCCAGCCCCUUCUUAGAAUUUUUUUUUGGAGACAAGUUCUAAUUAAGUUUCUGAGAUUGGUCUCAAAAUUAUUAUUCUCUUGCCUCAGCCUCCCUAUUAGCUGGGACUAUAGGCAUGUGCCUCUACACCGAGAUACAAGUAAGUGAUUUAAUAGAAAGAUAAGAGAAUUGGAAAAACCACAUUUGGAGCCAGUUGCUAUAUCAUCAUAGUGGUAAAUACUUUAUGUGGUUCCAGAGAGUUCUGUUUUCCAUAUCUUGUGGAAGACCCAUAAAAAUGAAAUUAUUUUAGCACUCUUUACCCCAGACAUAUUAACAAAAACUAUGACCAAGCCAUGUGAAAAACACUUUAGCUUUUUGAGACUUACCUUUGGUAUCUUACUCUUAUUUAAAGUUCAGCCAGAGGGAUGUCUUUUCUGCUAUUUCUGCGCAGUGGCUUCAGUCUCCCUUCCCUCUUAAAAUGAAUAUAAUCAUGCCUCACUUAACAACGGGGACACUUUCUGAGAAAUGUGUCAUUAGGCAAUUUUAUCAUCAUGCAAACAUCAUUUGUCCUUAUACAAACCCAGAGGGCAUAGCCUGUUACACACCUAAGCUAUGUGGCAUAUGUGUAUAUGGUAGUGCCUAUUGCCUUUGGGGCCAGGAUGAUAAAAAACACACGAGAUCGGUUCAAGCACAAAAGGAAACAAGGCAGUCAAGAGAAACAGUGAAGCCAAGAUGCAUGAGGUGGAUGAUGGUUUUUGUUUACAGUAAGUUUGUUUUUAGGAGUACACACUAGAACAACAAUGAAAUAUAUACUAUAGUAAGUACAUAAACCAGUCAUUAUCAUUAUCAAAUUUUAAUAACUGUAUAUAUUUCAUUUUCUAUAUUAUUAUAAGUUUACAGGCAGCACAAUAGGUUUGUUUACACUGGCAUCCCCACAAACAGGAGAAAAGCAUUGCCCUGUGACUUUACAAUGGCCAUAUCAUCACAAAGUGAUAAAAAUUUUCACCUCCCUUAUCAUCUUAGGUAACCCAUAUCAUAUAUAUGGUCCUUAGUUAU
Molecule: long non-coding RNA, 1328 nt
Filed under: Marmota monax (woodchuck)
Lineage: Eukaryota; Metazoa; Chordata; Mammalia; Rodentia; Sciuridae
Source: RNAcentral